RNAcentral lists this ribosomal RNA (450 nucleotides) under uncultured bacterium. RNAcentral's name for it is "partial 16S ribosomal RNA". It matches the Rfam family "Bacterial small subunit ribosomal RNA", at positions 338 to 795 of the family's 1533-position model. The record is from RNAcentral.
CCUACGGGUGGCUGCAGUGGGGAAUCUUCCGCAAUGGACGAAAGUCUGACGGAGCAACGCCGCGUGAGUGAAGAAGGUUUUCGGAUCGUAAAACUCUGUUUUCAGGGACGAAUGUGCGAAGUGUAAAUAAUGCUUUGUAAUGACGGUACCUGAGUAGAAAGCCACGGCUAACUACGUGCCAGCAGCCGCGGUAAUACGUAGGUGGCAAGCGUUGGCCGGGCGUACGCAGCGUAAAGCGCGCGCAGGGUGGUAAAGUUCGGGGCUCAACCCCGUGAAGCAUUUGGAAACUGAUAUUCUUGAGUGCAGGAGAGGAAAGUGGAAUUCCUAGUGUAGCGGUGAAAUGCGUAGAUAUUAGGAGGAACACCAGUGGCGAAGGCGACUUUCUGGACUGUGUCUGACACUGAGGCGCGAAAGCUAGGGUAGUGAACAGGAUUAGAUACCCUAGUAGUC